RNAcentral lists this ribosomal RNA (974 nucleotides) under Microcella indica. RNAcentral describes it as "bacterial SSU rRNA". It matches the Rfam family "Bacterial small subunit ribosomal RNA", at positions 68 to 1053 of the family's 1533-position model. The record is from RNAcentral. Lineage: Bacteria; Bacillati; Actinomycetota; Actinomycetes; Micrococcales; Microbacteriaceae.
GAUGAAGCCGGAGCUUGCUCUGGUGGAUUAGUGGCGAACGGGUGAGUAACACGUGAGUAACCUGCCCCAGACUCUGGGAUAAGCGUUGGAAACGACGUCUAAUACCGGAUACGAGCUGCGAUCGCAUGAUCAGUAGCUGGAAAGAACUUCGGUCUGGGAUGGACUCGCGGCCUAUCAGCUAGUUGGUGAGGUAACGGCCCACCAAGGCGACGACGGGUAGCCGGCCUGAGAGGGUGACCGGCCACACUGGGACUGAGACACGGCCCAGACUCCUACGGGAGGCAGCAGUGGGGAAUAUUGCACAAUGGGCGCAAGCCUGAUGCAGCAACGCCGCGUGAGGGACGACGGCCUUCGGGUUGUAAACCUCUUUUAGCAGGGAAGAAGCGAAAGUGACGGUACCUGCAGAAAAAGCACCGGCUAACUACGUGCCAGCAGCCGCGGUAAUACGUAGGGUGCAAGCGUUGUCCGGAAUUAUUGGGCGUAAAGAGCUCGUAGGCGGUUUGUCGCGUCUGCUGUGAAAACGCGAGGCUCAACCUCGCGCCUGCAGUGGGUACGGGCAAACUAGAGUGCGGUAGGGGAGAUUGGAAUUCCUGGUGUAGCGGUGGAAUGCGCAGAUAUCAGGAGGAACACCGAUGGCGAAGGCAGAUCUCUGGGCCGUAACUGACGCUGAGGAGCGAAAGCAUGGGGAGCGAACAGGAUUAGAUACCCUGGUAGUCCAUGCCGUAAACGUUGGGAACUAGAUGUAGGGACCAUUCCACGGUUUCUGUGUCGCAGCUAACGCAUUAAGUUCCCCGCCUGGGGAGUACGGUCGCAAGACUAAAACUCAAAGGAAUUGACGGGGGCCCGCACAAGCGGCGGAGCAUGCGGAUUAAUUCGAUGCAACGCGAAGAACCUUACCAAGGCUUGACAUAUACGAGAACGGGCUAGAAAUAGUCAACUCUUUGGACACUCGUAAACAGGUGGUGCAUGGUGUC